UCAGGUAGGUUUUCCUGACGUUCUGCGCCAGCGUGUUGGCGUAGUCCUCGAAGUUUCGGAGCAGAUGCGCGGUGCCGCCCUCGGUCUUCUGGAUAUGCUCCCAGUGCUCCUUGGUGUCGGGAUCCAGGAUGGCACUGCCCGCUCGCACCAAAUUCUGGAAAGAAUAGCUUCUUCAGGUGGGAAAAGGUGACGGUGGUGCAGUUGAAGAGUUCAGGCGUCAACCAGCCUUUCUCAUCACUACAGUGGCGGAUGGCAGUGCCUGACAAAAAUAAAUAAAAAAUGUACAAAAACAGAAGAAAGUAAAAAUCAAGUUCAAGCUCAA
This is a long non-coding RNA of Scophthalmus maximus (turbot), 322 nucleotides long. RefSeq lists it as uncharacterized. The transcript is spliced from 2 exons. Lineage: Eukaryota; Metazoa; Chordata; Actinopteri; Pleuronectiformes; Scophthalmidae. The record is from RefSeq and is a predicted model, not a curated record.